RNAcentral lists this ribosomal RNA (241 nucleotides) under uncultured bacterium. Its description in RNAcentral is "partial 16S ribosomal RNA". It matches the Rfam family "Bacterial small subunit ribosomal RNA", at positions 15 to 239 of the family's 1533-position model. The record is from RNAcentral.
GAUCAUGGCUCAGGAUGAACGCUGGCGGCGUGCUUAACACAUGCAAGUCGAACGGGAAACAUUUCAUUGAGGCUUCGGCGGAUUUGAUCUGUUUCUAGUGGCGGACGGGUGAGUGACGUGUGGGUAACCUGCCUUAUACUGGGGGAUAACAGCCAGAAAUGACUGCUAAUACCGCAUAAGCGCACAGAACCGCAUGGUUCCGUGUGAAAAACUCCGGUGGUAUAAGAUGGACCCGCGUUGG